RNAcentral lists this ribosomal RNA (440 nucleotides) under uncultured bacterium. Its description in RNAcentral is "partial 16S ribosomal RNA". It matches the Rfam family "Bacterial small subunit ribosomal RNA", at positions 338 to 795 of the family's 1533-position model. The record is from RNAcentral.
CCUACGGGGGGCAGCAGUGGGGCAUAUUGCACAAUGGGGGAAACCCUGAUGCAGCGACGCCGCGUGAGUGAAGAAGUAUUUCGGUACGUAAAGCUCUAUCAGCAGGGAAGAAAAUGACGGUACCUGACUAAGAAGCCCCGGCUAACUACGUGCCAGCAGCCGCGGUAAUACGUAGGGGGCAAGCGUUAUCCGGAUUUACUGGGUGUAAAGGGAGCGUAGACGGCAGCGCAAGUCUGGAGUGAAAUGCCGGGGCUCAACCCCGGAACUGCUCUGGAAACUGUGAGGCUGGAGUGCAGGAGAGGUAAGCGGAAUUCCUAGUGUAGCGGUGAAAUGCGUAGAUAUCAGGAGGAACACCGGCGGCGAAGGCGGCUUACUGGACUGUAACUGACGCUGAGGCUCGAAGGCGUGGGGAGCAAACAGGAUUAGAUACCCUUGUAGUC